Molecule: microRNA precursor, 168 nt
Filed under: Pelobates cultripes (western spadefoot toad)
Lineage: Eukaryota; Metazoa; Chordata; Amphibia; Anura; Pelobatidae
Source: RNAcentral
GCAGACACAUUCCAGCCAAUCAGCAGCAGACCCUCCCUCCCAGACCCUCCCACCCCCUGGACAGCAUCCAUUUUACAUUCAUUGUGAAGCUGCAUUCUUAGUGAGCUGUCCAGGAGGUGGGAGGGUCUGGGAGGGAGGGUCUGCUGCUGAUUGGCUGGAAUGUGUCUG